UACGGGGGGGGCAAGCGUUGUUCGGAAUUACUGGGCGGAAAGGGCUCGUAGGCGGCCAACUAAGUCGGAUGUGAAAUCCCUCGGCUUAACCGGGGAACUGCGUGUGAUACUGGAUGGCUUGAGUUUGGGAGAGGGAUGCGGAAUUCCAGGUGUAGCGGUGAAAUGCGUAGAUAUCUGGAGGAACACCGGUGGCGAAGGCGGCAUCCUGGACCAAUACUGACGCUGAGGAGCGAAAGCCAGGGGAGCAAACGGG
This 253-nucleotide ribosomal RNA is filed under the name uncultured bacterium. Its description in RNAcentral is "partial 16S ribosomal RNA". It matches the Rfam family "Bacterial small subunit ribosomal RNA", at positions 524 to 776 of the family's 1533-position model. The record is from RNAcentral.